RNAcentral lists this ribosomal RNA (274 nucleotides) under uncultured bacterium. RNAcentral's name for it is "partial 16S ribosomal RNA". It matches the Rfam family "Bacterial small subunit ribosomal RNA", at positions 523 to 796 of the family's 1533-position model. The record is from RNAcentral.
AUACGGAGGGGACAAGCGUUAUUCGGAAUCACUGGGCGUAAAGGACGCGUAGGCGGGUUAUUAAGUCGGGUGUGAAGUCCAAUGGCUUAACCAUUGAACUGCAUUCGAAACUGAUAACCUAGAGUAUGGAAGGGGCAGAUGGAAUUAGUGGUGUAGGGGUAAAAUCCGUAGAUAUCACUAGGAAUACCGAAAGCGAAGGCGAUCUGCUGGGACAUUACUGACGCUGAGGCGUGAAAGCGUGGGGAGCAAACAGGAUUAGAAACCCCGGUAGUCC